GUUUUGCUCUUUCAGGGUCAUUACUGUCCCUUAGGCUCACCCCUGGCCUUGCCCUGCCCCACAGGACAGAACCAUCCAAAUCCGGGCUUGGAUAACUGCAUCCCCUGUCGUCCAGGCUAUUACUGUGAGGAGGCAAUUAUCGGAGACCCCCAGCCUUGCCCCCCACACUCCUACCCCCCUGCAGCCACAAUGGUUCCUCAGCCCUGUCACAAUGGCACAUAUACCCCACCUGAGGUCGGGGGUCUGCUAGAGGAGAGAGAGUGUUUGCCGUGUCCACCAGGAAAGUUCUGCAAGGCUGGCCAGGUGAAAGGCCUGUGUGCUGCUUGAUUCCUGUGCAUCUCUGGCAUUUCAGAGUACAGCCCCCAGGAUGCUUCUCUGCUCAACAGAGACCAGUGUGAGUGGGGAGCACAGUGUGCUGGGCCGUGUCCUGCUGGUACAUUAU
Molecule: long non-coding RNA, 442 nt
Organism: Cyprinus carpio (common carp)
Lineage: Eukaryota; Metazoa; Chordata; Actinopteri; Cypriniformes; Cyprinidae
Source: Ensembl